This is an RNA transcript of Entelurus aequoreus (snake pipefish), 1622 nucleotides long. RefSeq lists it as uncharacterized. The transcript has 2 exons. The record is from RefSeq and is a predicted model, not a curated record. NCBI's taxonomy places the organism in Eukaryota, Metazoa, Chordata, Actinopteri, Syngnathiformes, Syngnathidae.
UGGAUGAAAAUGGACUUCUUAGAGUAGGAGGUCGCAUCUGUGAUUCAAACUUGAGCCCAGGUGAAAAGAACCCACUCAUAGUUCCUGGCCAACACCAUAUUGCAGCUCUUCUCAUUAAGCACUACCACGAGCAGACCCGACACCAAGGUCGCCUUUUCACAGAAGGAGCUGUUCGCUCUGCAGGAUGGUGGAUUGUAGGUGGCAAGAGAAAGGUGAGCACAAUCAUCUAUCAUUGCGUAACCUGCAAAAGACUUCGUGCCCCUAUGAGUACACAAAAAAUGUCGAACCUCCCUCCAGACCGUCUUACAACGGACCCCCCAUUCACUAAUGUGGGCUUAGAUGUUUUUGGCCCAUGGAUUGUGUCUUCACAGCGCACAAGAGGAAGUAUCAUCCAAAAUAAAAGGUGGGCUGUCUUAUUCACAUGCUUGAGUAUUAGAGCAGUUCACAUUGAGGUGAUAGAGUCUCUCGAUACCUCUAGCUUUGUUAAUGCAUUCAGACGGUUUCUGGCAGUAAGAGGACCUGUAAAAAGCAUUCGUUCUGAUAGAGGUACCAAUUUUGUCAGCGCAUGUAAAGAACUGAAGAUCCCCUCAAAUUUAGACAACACAGCUGUACAAACCUACCUUAAAGAUCACGGAUGUACAUGGACUUUUAACCCUCCACACGCUUCCCACUUUGGCGGGUCAUGGGAAAGAAUGAUUGGACUUGCCCGGAAAAUAUUGGACACAAUGUUUUUCCAGCUCAAGACCACUAAACUCACUCACGAAGUUCUUGUCACCUUUAUGGCAGAAGUGGCGGCUAUUAUAAACGCAAGACCCCUUGUCCCUGUUUCAUCGGACCCAUGUGACCCUUUCACUUUGACUCCGGCCACUCUUAUAACCCAAAAGGUAACCCCUCUUAAGGCUCCAGUUGGCAACUUUACAGCGUCAGACCUCUACAAACAUCAGUGGCGCCAAGUCCAGCACCUGUCAAACACCUUCUGGGACAGGUGGAAGAAGGAGUUCCUUCCCACUCUCCAACCACGUCGCAAGUGGCAUUCCAGUCAACUUAACGUGAGCGUAGGUACGGUCGUUAUACUCAAAGACAGCCAAAUUCCCCGAAAUGAAUGGCCUCUUGCACGUGUAACUCAGGUGUUCCCAAGUAAAGAUGGCAAAGUCCGUUCAGUAGAGCUAAGGGUAGUCAGGUCAGAUGAUACAAAGGUAUUGACCAGACCCAUCUCAGAAAUUGUACCUUUGAUUAUUUAAUGAGAGGUAUUUGUUUGUUUUUUCCAGUUAUUUUUGUGGCGUUUAUCCACGCCAAGCGGGGAGUGUUCUGUUACAACUAAAAGUUGUAAACUCUUGUUGUUGAAAUGUGUUGUGCUUAAAUAAGCUUGUUAUGUAAUUAAUAUUAUUACAUGUGUAUUUGUCGCCAUCAUGUGGUCAUGGCAGUUAAUACAUCUUUGAGAAGUGUGUAUUUUGAAUCAAACUUUAUUGACCGGAAGUUACAUAAGCCAAGCAGAGAAAUCUCCGGUUCCAGCACGUACUUUAUGGUGGUUAUUUUCGAAGAAAAACUGCAUAUAUCCUUUGUUUAAGGUUGCAUCGCCGUUUCACCCUUUUGAAUGUCAUUAAACCUGCUGACAACGCUCA